RNAcentral lists this ribosomal RNA (468 nucleotides) under uncultured bacterium. Its description in RNAcentral is "partial 16S ribosomal RNA". It matches the Rfam family "Bacterial small subunit ribosomal RNA", at positions 28 to 507 of the family's 1533-position model. The record is from RNAcentral.
GACGAACGCUGGCGGCGCGCCUAACACAUGCAAGUCGAACGGAGCUGAGAGAAGCUUGCUUUUCUUAGCUUAGUGGCGAACGGGUGAGUAACGCGUGAGUAACCUGCCCUGGAGUGGGGGACAACAGUUGGAAACGACUGCUAAUACCGCAUAAGCCCACGAUCCGGCAUCGGAUUGAGGGAAAAGGAUUUAUUCGCUUCAGGAUGGACUCGCGUCCAAUUAGCUAGUUGGUGAGGUAACGGCCCCCCAAGGCGACGAUUGGUAGCCGGACUGAGAGGUUGAACGGCCACAUUGGGACUGAGACACGGCCCAGACUCCUACGGGAGGCAGCAGUGGGGGAUAUUGCACAAUGGGGGAAACCCUGAUGCAGCGACGCCGCGUGGAGGAAGAAGGUUUUCGGAUUGUAAACUCCUGUCGUUAGGGACGAUAAUGACGGUACCUAACAAGAAAGCACCGGCUAACUACGUG